Sinocyclocheilus anshuiensis is the source of this 113-nucleotide ribosomal RNA. The record is from Ensembl. Lineage: Eukaryota; Metazoa; Chordata; Actinopteri; Cypriniformes; Cyprinidae.
UGCCACAGCCAUAUUACCCUGUAGCCCAAGACUGGUUGCCCACUUAAGCUAAGCAGGGUUGAGCCUAGUCCUGGAUGACAGACCUCCUGGGAAAAACUAGGUUGCAGUUGAAG